Psammomys obesus (fat sand rat) is the source of this 1316-nucleotide long non-coding RNA. RefSeq lists it as uncharacterized. Lineage: Eukaryota; Metazoa; Chordata; Mammalia; Rodentia; Muridae. The record is from RefSeq and is a predicted model, not a curated record. The transcript is spliced from 7 exons.
CCUACAGCCUCACCUGGAAUGUGCUGCGCAGACAUGAAACUGAAAGGCCAGAUCACCCACCUAUGUGAGGCGGUGGGAGCCAGAUGGAAAUUUUAUUAGAACUAGAGCAAAGUGCACAGCUGCAGCACGCAGAAGACAGCGCUCCGGCUGACAGGCAAACGAACGAGCUCGUGGAUGGGGCCUCUGGGUGGCAGCUCCGGCCUUUUGGUUGUUGGACACUGUUCAUUUCAGAACUGAAAUGGAACAGGGGGCAGGAAAAACAAAACAAAACAAAACACACUUUUACUCUACGCAACUGUUGCUUUCACGUGAUCUUCAGGAAUGUUACUGGGAUAACUGUCCAAAUCAAAUUUCAUGCACUCGUCAUGGUACUGACUAUCAAGAUGAUAUUAUGAAAGGAUAACUCCAAAAUAACACACAUCGGGAGCACAUAGGGAUGCUCCCUUCUGACUGUGCAGUGUGCGCUAUGGAGAGAUUCUUCAAAACUCACCAGGACAAAUCACUGACGAAUUCAUCAGACUGUUCAUCUCUGUUACCCUUAAUGGUCACUCAGGAAACAUUUCCCUCAACUGUAAAGGCAUUUGAACUGGUCGAACAGGACGACAGAGCAGUGAGCAUGAGAUCAUUGCAGCCGAGUAGGAAACUGGCACCCAGCCUUUUCACCCCUUCGGUUCGGAAGACGAACGCGUGCAGUCGUCAUUUCUCAAGCCAGCGCAGCCUGGAAGGAUUCCGGGUCUCUCCCAUUCUACCAUUCGGCUGCCAGUUGAUGGCAACGAUUGGUGCAGCUUCUGCGCAGUGCUUUGUGCCUGGAAUACGGAGAAGGAAGAGCAUGAAGACAAGCCCUCCGGACCUCCUCUGAGAAAUAGCAGGAGCACUGCAGGAACAGCAACAAAAUCAAACAAAUCAAAAAGCCCUGAGCUUCUCAGUCCUUGCAAGAGUGCUGAAAAAAUAAUGAUAAUGAUGAGAUGCGCCUGCUUGGAAACAAAAACAAACAAACAAAACUGCAAACCAAAACAAACCAAAAAAAAAAAAAAAAAAAAAGCAAACUUUGACUUGUCUAACUCCAGAGACACCGGGCUUUGUAAAGCAGCUCUGAAGGCGUCACAACCAAAUGAGCCUUCUUCAUUUUUAUUUAUUGUUUUUAUUUAUUAUUUCAAAAACUAUGGCCUAAGAGCAGUACAUUGCACUUGGUGAAGCCGCACUUUCAUAUCAGGGGAACACUUAAGGUGGAUAUGAGAAGAGAAGAAAAUAACCAUAGGAGAAAAUCAUCUCAGGUAACAAUGAAAAAACACAAGUGUAAAGUAUAAUUAAUCUAC